CCCUUAGAUGUUCUGGGCCGCACGCGCGCUACACUGAUUCAUGCAACAAGUUUUGUCCUUGGCUGAUAGGCCUGGGUAAUCUUUGAACGUGAAUCAUGAUGGGGAUAGAUGAUUGCAAUUAUUCAUCUUCAACGAGGAAUUCCUAGUAAACGCAAGUCAUCAGCUUGCAUUGAUUACGUCCCUGCCCUUUGUACACACCGCCCGUCGCACCUACCGAUUGAAUGGUCCGGUGAAAUCUUCGGAUCUGAGAGAUGUCUGAUUAAUUUCGGACGCCUUUUGGAAAAGUUGCUUAAACCUUAUCAUUUAGAGGAAGGUGAAGUCGUAACA
This 327-nucleotide ribosomal RNA is filed under the name uncultured eukaryote. RNAcentral describes it as "partial 18S ribosomal RNA". It matches the Rfam family "Eukaryotic small subunit ribosomal RNA", at positions 1470 to 1796 of the family's 1831-position model. The record is from RNAcentral.